RNAcentral lists this ribosomal RNA (492 nucleotides) under uncultured bacterium. RNAcentral's name for it is "partial 16S ribosomal RNA". It matches the Rfam family "Bacterial small subunit ribosomal RNA", at positions 29 to 507 of the family's 1533-position model. The record is from RNAcentral.
AGUGAACGCUGGCGGUAGGCCUAACACAUGCAAGUCGAACGGCAGCACAGUAAGAGCUUGCUCUUACGGGUGGCGAGUGGCGGACGGGUGAGGAAUACAUCGGAAUCUACUUUUUCGUGGGGGAUAACGUAGGGAAACUUACGCUAAUACCGCAUACGACCUACGGGUGAAAGCAGGGGAUCUUCGGACCUUGCGCGAUUGAAUGAGCCGAUGUCGGAUUAGCUAGUUGGCGGGGUAAAGGCCCACCAAGGCGACGAUCCGUAGCUGGUCUGAGAGGAUGAUCGGCCACACUGGAACUGGGACACGGUCCAGACUCCUACGGGAGGCAGCAGUGGGGAAUAUUGGACAAUGGGCGCAAGCAUGAUCCAGCCAUACCGCGUGGGUGAAGAAGGCCUUCGGUUUGUAAAGCCCUUUUGUUGGGAAAGAAAAGCAGCAGGUUGAUACCCCGCUGUUCUGACGGUACCCAAAGAAUAAGCACCGGCUAACUUCGUG